CUCCAGGCACCGGGAAUAACAGAGCCCAGCUGAGAGCGCCUGCGCGGCCGUCGGUCUCGGGGGAGGUCAGAUUUGGGAAACUGGGGCCUGGGGGUUCCCCUGAGCAGGAGCGGUUCGCAGGCGUCAGUCCAGGCCCUGAAUGGCUGGUCUCCAGUUGGCCUCACAUCUGCCUGUGGGCGUUAUGCUCCCACAUAAUACAACAGAAGCUCCAGGGCCCCACUCAGCCAAGCAAGACUCUUACGAACAAGGUGACUCUUCCGAACAAGGUGACUCUUCCCAGCAGUCCCUGAAGGGGCACCUGAGGAACAGUUUCCAGAAGAAGCUUUUGAGCAACAAAGAGUUGACGCUGGAUAAAGUCUACCCUCACCCCAAAUGGAACACACACGUAAAAGCGCGGAGCUACUCCUAUCCCCACUGUACUGAAAUCAGCCAGCAAGAUCCAGGAAGUGAUUCCCAGGGCCAAGGAAAGUGUUCGUUUUACUCGUCAGGCCCUCAAUCCUGGUAUCCCAAAGCCAAUAACCAGGACUUUAUUCCCUUGACAAAGAAACGAGUUGGGGUGGACCGGGCGUACCCACUGAAACCUGUGGUCCAUCGGAAGUCGUGCAGUAUGGGUGAGGCUGGCAUGGAUGGGGACCAGAAUGUCUACCCAAGGCCCCCUGAGCUGAGAGCGUUUUCAUCCAGCAACCCUGGUGUGAGGGACCAGGUCAACUUUUCCGUGACUGGUACUGUUCUUGCUGCGGUGCAGGAGGAGAGGGCCGCGGUAAACUUCGAGAGGACUGAGCUGGUGCAGAUCCGAAGACUAGAAGCUGCAGGAGAGAACUUAGAGGAGGAAAUCCGGAGGAAGCAGAGUCUUCUGAGGGGAAAGCUGAAGAAGACAGAGGAGGAACUCAGAAAGAUCCAGAAGCAAAAGGAACAGGCCAAGGAAAAUGAAAACAGAGAGCUACAGAAAAUUAUGCUACCCAGGAGAAGAGUUAAAGGUAAUAAUAGCAACACCAUGUACAAACCUAUCUUCUCCCCAGACUCUGAGUUUCAGGAAGAAUUCGGUAGAGACAGGAGACAGGAUGAAGCUUGGGGAUGGUCUCAACAAAAUUCGAGUCCAUUCCAGCUCUCUGAUUAUAGAAUCCAGAGGCUCAAAAGGGAAAGGCUGGUGGCAAGCAAUAACAAAAUUCGAGACCGAGUCUCAGAGCCGUCGAUGGAGAAGUUCUCUCCGCCUUUAGAAACACCAGGCGGUUCUUUGCAGGGAUCCACCAGAAAUUCCAGCCUGUCCAUGGCACCAGACUCCUCAGGGUCCGGCGGCUCCAUUGAAGAGCCACAACUGGGCGAGUGCAGCCACUGUGGGCGCAAAUUCCUCUUGCUCAGGCUGGAGAGACACUCCACAGUCUGCAGCAGGAUGCGGGAGUCCAAGAGGAAAGUGUUCGACUCCUCCAGGGCCCGGGCUAAGGGCACAGAACUAGAGCAGUACUUGAACUGGAAGGGGCCAGCUUCAGCCAAGGCUGAACCUCCUCGGAAGAGCAACUGGAGACAGAAGCACGAAUAUUUUAUCCGUACCCUCCGCCAGGCUCGAGAGGUCCAGCAGAGAUCCUUGUUCUGACGCCUGGUAUUUUUCAAGGAUAAAUGUAAAGAAGGGUUAAUUAUCACCUGCUGUGCUGGCCUGGGGACUAACCAGGUCAUGCUGAGAUCCUAGGGAAGCAGAACUACUGUUACCAAAAGCCUAAAAGAGGACCUGGACAUGAAGGAGGCCAGCAAGUACAGUUCAGAGAAGUACAGGAACAUCAAGAGAUUCAGCCCAUAUUUGCUUUGAUCUAUCUACUGAGUUAACCCAAGCUUCUUCUUCAGAGACUCUGGCAUUUCGGGUGGAGGAGGGCAAGGGAGCCUGAAGUAGACCUUCACGGAGACAGAUAAACCACUGUAGUACAGUCAGGGUACCAAUCAUGAUGAUACGGGCAAACAGUCCCUUCCAUACACCUUUAAAUCCAAGUCUCUGGAGGAUCUGAGAAGCACUGCUACCUUUUUCUUUAUUCAACACAGAUACCACAGAAUCAGCAGGGUGAGAAACAACUGCACAAAAGACUCCAGCUAUGUAACCUGCUACAAAUGUUACAACCGGCUGCUCUGGCUUUGAACAUUCACUGCAGGACUUAGGAACCACAAACUUGUACAGUGCUUCAACAGUACUUUCAAAGCAGGUGAACUUCAUCAUGGUGUAUGGUAACUGCCUCAUUCAGAGAGGAGCAUCCCCCUUGUAGAAUGCUUUUAGGCCUUCUUCCUUAUACAUUUUGGGAGCUGCAUCCCUCAAAGUGUUGGCAUAAACUGGCUGGGGUUGAAU
Callithrix jacchus (white-tufted-ear marmoset) is the source of this 2326-nucleotide non-coding RNA. NCBI's taxonomy places the organism in Eukaryota, Metazoa, Chordata, Mammalia, Primates, Cebidae. The record is from RefSeq and is a predicted model, not a curated record.